Long non-coding RNA from Episyrphus balteatus (marmalade hoverfly), 1117 nucleotides. RefSeq lists it as uncharacterized. NCBI's taxonomy places the organism in Eukaryota, Metazoa, Arthropoda, Insecta, Diptera, Syrphidae. The record is from RefSeq and is a predicted model, not a curated record. The transcript has 2 exons.
AACGUCGCCUCAAUAAAAUAUUGUCGUAUGUGCAAAAUUGAGGUUUUGAGAUUUGAAUGCAGUUUUGCUAAUUGAUUUUUUCUCUUUCAUUCUGUGAAAUCCGUUUUUCGAUAUCUGUCUUCGUUUCCGAGAUAAUCAGUAUGCUUUUUGUCGUAUGUGUAGGUUUACAAACAUUUUCAGUAUCUAUUUGUAGUAAGUGCACUGAAAAAAAUUAUCACAUACUACAAUUUUUUCAUACAAAAUCUGUGUUUUUCUUCGUUCGGUAAAUAAUUGUAGUAUGUGCUAUUUUUGCUAAACAUACGACAAUAUUUUACUGGAAUUUCGGUAAACGUUUGUCGUAUGUCCCAUAAGGAAAUACACAGACGAGUGUAAUUUCAGUCGCAAUCAAGAUGUCGAGCAGGGCGGACGAGUCACCUGCGCCAAGUUUAUCGGAGGAGCUUUAUGCCAUGAGCAACGAAAUAUUGGAUGAUGAAUUCCUCGAUGUCGAUCCAUUAGGUUCGCCCAAUGAGUGCUCUGAAUCCAGUGACAAGGACUUUUCAGCAGACGAUGAAGAUAACGGCCAUCCCACGUACCAGUUAGAAAAUCAAAAUGAAAACUCGCCCCUCCGAAAUUUUUAUGAAGCUGCACAUGAUAUUCUUAUGUCUAUACUCCAUCCACAUCUAAAAAUAAUCAACCCAACGAUCGGAAUCUACCAUUCUAAUUCUAAAAAUUGUUCAAAAAUAACAUAAAAAUGUUUUAUUUUUUCUAUGAAUUAAAUGUGAUUUAAGUUUUUUUCUGUUUGGACAAAAAAAAGUAUAGGUAUUUUAAGAACGGCCAUUCCACACGGAGAAGACACAAACAUUGACUUUGUUUUCAGUCUAUCUCGUUGAAGAAGCAACCUUUUUUCUUAAAACUUGGUAGGUGUUAAAGGCUCAUGAUAAAGUUGAUGUUCUAGAAGUUUCACGAAAAACUAAUUUAACGUAGCCAAAUUAUUCACAGAUAAAGCGGUAACGGAGAAGACGCGUACAAAUCUUCUCCGUUACCGUCUUUGUCUGUUAAUAAUUUAGCUAUUUUGAAUUCGUUUUUCUUGAAACUUCUAGAACUUCAACUUUAUAAUGUGCCCUUAAGACCUACCAAG